UACGAAGGGGGCUAGCGUUGUUCGGAAUUACUGGGCGUAAAGCGUGCGCAGGCGGCUGCUCAAGUCAGGGGUGAAAGCCCAGAGCUCAACUCUGGAAUUGCCUUUGAGACUGAGUGGCUUGAGUACGGGAGAGGUGAGUGGAAUUCCCAGUGUAGAGGUGAAAUUCGUAGAUAUUGGGAAGAACACCGGUGGCGAAGGCGGCUCACUGGCCCGAUACUGACGCUGAGGCACGAAAGCGUGGGAGCAAACAGGG
Molecule: ribosomal RNA, 253 nt
Filed under: uncultured bacterium
Lineage: Bacteria
Description: partial 16S ribosomal RNA
Rfam family: Bacterial small subunit ribosomal RNA
Source: RNAcentral